UUGUGCCCUCUUCUAACCCCAGUUUGGAACAAUGAGUGCCGCCUGCCGUCUGCCGUCUACCGUCUGCCAGCGUCAAUAUUGAAUAACUUUUUCCACUCCAUAUCAUGUGUGUCAUGUCACGACAUCUUGCCUUCAGGAUGUCCUUAUUCUUCUCCAAAAUCAGGAUCAACCCCAAGGGAGUUUCACCCAUUCACAUUAUUUGGUCAUUCUGUCCUUGGCAAUUCUCUUUUAAAUGUACAGUCGGAGAGUUUUCAUUAUAUUUUGAGGUCCAACCAAUUCAGGAAUGUGAUCCCAAGAAGAACCAGCUUUUCUUUUCUUCUUUUGCCUUUGGCCAAAUCGUGAUGUCACAAAGACCUUUGAUGUUCGUCUCAGCAAGAAGUCCAACUUUGAUGCUACUUUCUUGCCAGCAAAGUGUCAAAGGCCACCCAGACUUGACAAUCAACGAGUGUUGAUUUCGAUCCAAGUGGAAAAUAAAGGCUCCUAUUUGGAUUUGCAUGGACCGGUGCAGAAUUAUUCCAUUCAUGGUGUGAAAUGGGUGCAAAUGAGCAGAUGCCAAAAAUACUUUUCCCAUGAAAAUAAAUGAUAGAAGAAGAUAAGGAUAUCAAGGCCCAAUUCCUCUCCUCAUCUUGGCAACUCCUAACAACUGCCAUCUCGAGUAAAAGGCCAUCACGCGAAAAGAAGUUUUCAUAAAUGCAUUGCAAAAAGAGACCCACAAAUUGUCUGCGCUGAAAACCAUGCCAACCACGAAAACGCUCGGAUAUCCUGGACUUCUUUGGUAUCCUUUUAACUUGAGACUUUGAACAGUGUUCAAUUGGAUGCAUUGGGUAUUCCUUUGAAGAGUGACGUUAUUUUUGUUCACUAUUGCAUGUCCAUUAAUUACUUCUGACGUUCAAUGGUAUUUUUUACACAAAUGUAAGGAAGAGAAUGAGGAAACAGCCACAUUUAGUCAUUAGCACAUUCCAAGGUCUCUCGCCUUCGCAGAUUUCUUCAAAAUCCUCAAGAUUCGAGAGAGUUUGUUCCUGGGACACGACGAGAUCUGCCAGCCAUGAAAAUGGCCGGUAGAGCAUAAAAUGGUCCGAGAUUUGAAUUGGAUUAUGUGCCUUUGGAACUUCGCCAAUUCCCAGCAAAUACAAUCGGAGCUUA
Molecule: long non-coding RNA, 1143 nt
Organism: Tigriopus californicus
Lineage: Eukaryota; Metazoa; Arthropoda; Copepoda; Harpacticoida; Harpacticidae
Exons: 3
Source: RefSeq, a predicted model, not a curated record